This 208-nucleotide ribosomal RNA is filed under the name uncultured bacterium. RNAcentral's name for it is "partial 16S ribosomal RNA". It matches the Rfam family "Bacterial small subunit ribosomal RNA", at positions 328 to 538 of the family's 1533-position model. The record is from RNAcentral.
ACGCUCGACACCUAUGGGGAGGCAGCAGUGGGGAAUAUUGCACAAUGGAGGAAACUCUGAUGCAGCGAUGCCGCGUGAGGGAAGAAGGUUUUCGGAUUGUAAACCUCUGUCUUUGGGGACGAUAAUGACGGUACCCAAGGAGGAAGCUCCGGCUAACUACGUGCCAGCAGCAGGUACGGUAAUCUGGAGGCGGGUCGUGGACGAAGGC